GAACUUAUACUUUGCAACUUUUUGUUGCGUUGCCUAGCAACAAGCUAGCGGCACGCCAGACGCGCGUGCAUACGUCAUACGCCAGACAAGCCGCACGAGUGAGCGAGGGCGGUCGUACGUGCGAAGCUCGCGUGCUCUGCGACCCGUCUGUUCUGGAUAUAGCCCAUGUUUUUGGGCUCCCGGCCUUCUCUAUGCUUUUCUUGCGUAUCGUCUGCAUUUCGACACGGCACCACUGCACUACUGGACUACGGCAAGCUGAUGGCAUCCGGUGGAGCAUCGUACGGCAACGACUGCUGCUUACCUGGUGCCACAACUUUGGAUGAAUGCAGAAGAAGCCCGGAACGAGCAUUUAUAUAGAGCAAAAUAAACAUUUCAUAAUUUCAGAA
This 386-nucleotide long non-coding RNA is filed under the name Dermacentor andersoni. RNAcentral's name for it is "uncharacterized LOC126516830". The record is from RNAcentral. Lineage: Eukaryota; Metazoa; Arthropoda; Arachnida; Ixodida; Ixodidae.